GAGUUUGAUCAUGGCUCAGGAUGAACGCUGGCGGCGUGCCUAAUACAUGCAAGUCGAACGAGGUUUUAACAAUUGAUCAAUGUGCUUGCACGGCGAGAUUUUGUUAACACCGAGUGGCGGACGGGUGAGUAACACGUGGGUAACCUGCCCUUAAGUGGGGGAUAACAUUUGGAAACAGAUGCUAAUACCGCAUAAACCCAAGGAUCACAUGAUCCUUGGUUGAAAGAUGGCGUAAGCUAUCGCUUUUGGAUGGACCCGCGGCGUAUUAGCUAGUUGGUAAGGUAACGGCUUACCAAGGCGAUGAUACGUAGCCGAACUGAGAGGUUGAUCGGCCACAAUGGGACUGAGACACGGCCCAUACUCCUACGGGAGGCAGCAGUAGGGAAUCUUCCACAAUGGACGCAAGUCUGAUGGAGCAACGCCGCGUGAGUGAAGAAGGCUUUAGGGUCGUAAAACUCUGUUGUUGGAGAAGAACACGUUUG
RNAcentral lists this ribosomal RNA (482 nucleotides) under uncultured Lactobacillus sp. Its description in RNAcentral is "bacterial SSU rRNA". It matches the Rfam family "Bacterial small subunit ribosomal RNA", at positions 9 to 457 of the family's 1533-position model. The record is from RNAcentral. Lineage: Bacteria; Bacillati; Bacillota; Bacilli; Lactobacillales; Lactobacillaceae.